UCUACUCUAAGCGGGGACACCUCUAGGAAACGGGGAUUUAAAUACCGCAUAAUAUGCCGAGGUCGCAUGACUUUUGGUAUUAAAGCAGCAAUGCACUUAGAGAUGAGUGUGCGUCCCAUUAGGUAGUUGGUGAGGUAACGGCUCACCAAGCCUAUGAUGGGUAGCCGGUCUGAGAGGAUGGUCGGCCACACGGGCACUGAGACACGGGCCCGACUCCUACGGGAGGCAGCAGUAAGGAAUAUUGGUCAAUGGUGGAAACACUGAACCAGCCAUGCCGCGUGGAGGAAUAAGGUCCUACGGAUUGUAAACUCCUUUUGACGAGGAAGAAAGUGUUAGAUUUAUCUAAUUUUGACGGUACUCGUAGAAUAAGCACCGGCUAACUCCGUG
Molecule: ribosomal RNA, 387 nt
Filed under: uncultured bacterium
Lineage: Bacteria
Description: bacterial SSU rRNA
Rfam family: Bacterial small subunit ribosomal RNA
Source: RNAcentral